This is a long non-coding RNA of Thamnophis elegans (Western terrestrial garter snake), 635 nucleotides long. RefSeq lists it as uncharacterized. The record is from RefSeq and is a predicted model, not a curated record. The transcript is spliced from 5 exons. NCBI's taxonomy places the organism in Eukaryota, Metazoa, Chordata, Lepidosauria, Squamata, Natricidae.
AGAGCGUGUUUUGCGCGCAUGAAUGUCUCAGGUGUGCCCGCACAGUGCUAAAAAAAGAACAUUUUUGAAGCCUUCAGAGUCUGCAAAGAUGCUUUCAAUGAGAAUUUCCAGUAUUCAAGGAUUAUAAUCCAACAUUUCUAAUGGGCACUUCUGGCUGGCUGGAGAAUUUGGAAAUCUUGCACUUUAUAAUCCUCUUAUGAGACAGACAGGAGAGUGCUCAGCACCUAAAUACUGCAGAAGCACUCAGAAGAAAUAAAAAUGCAUUCUACUACGCUUUGGGAUUGUCUUCUCCUGCCCCAGUAAGCUUUGGAGCAGAGAUAUGUUGUUCUGAAGUCACAAAUGGGAUGAAUAUACAAAGAAGUACAGUAUAUUUCCAAUGUAUAAGAUGAUACUUUUUCUUAAAAAUAUUUACCUAAAAAUGGAGGGGUGUCUUAUACAUGGGGAGCGGGCAGAGAGGACAACUGCGGUUGCGAAAUUGCUGAUACCUUAUCUCUGCAAACAAGCCUCAUGAGCGAAAUUGUCGGUUGCCGAGACAAGCUAACAGAUUUCCUCCAAUCAUGAGCCUUAUGUGUUCUGACCCCCUCCUCCAUCCAGUAACGAAUGCCGAGACAAGCUUAACUGGAAUUUCACAGCAC